This is a small nucleolar RNA of Xiphias gladius (swordfish), 167 nucleotides long. RefSeq annotates it as small nucleolar RNA SNORD97. Lineage: Eukaryota; Metazoa; Chordata; Actinopteri; Istiophoriformes; Xiphiidae. The transcript has a single exon. The record is from RefSeq and is a predicted model, not a curated record.
AUGCCCACUGAUUAUAGAAAGACGCGUUAUUCUGAGGAAUACAACCUGCUACCAGUCUUUCUUCUACCUUUUACUCCAUCUUUCCUCUCCUCUAUCUGUCCUCCACUCACUCUUCUCUAUAAACUGGUUGCUGGUCCGCUGACUGCGAUUAUGAGAUAUGAGGGCAU